UAGAUGUGUACUCGGAGAGCUGAA
This 24-nucleotide non-coding RNA is filed under the name Rattus norvegicus (Norway rat). The record is from RNAcentral. Lineage: Eukaryota; Metazoa; Chordata; Mammalia; Rodentia; Muridae.